UACGGGGGGGGCAAGCGUUGUUCGGAAUUACUGGGCGUAAAGGGCUCGUAGGCGGCCAACUAAGUCAGACGUGAAAUCCCUCGGCUUAACCGGGGAACUGCGUCUGAUACUGGAUGGCUUGAGAUUGGGAGAGGGAUGCGGAAUUCCAGGUGUAGCGGUGAAAUGCGUAGAUAUCUGGAGGAACACCGGUGGCGAAGGCGGGUCUCUGGGCCGUAACUGACGCUGAGGAGCGAAAGCGUGGGGAGCGAACAGG
This 253-nucleotide ribosomal RNA is filed under the name uncultured bacterium. RNAcentral's name for it is "partial 16S ribosomal RNA". It matches the Rfam family "Bacterial small subunit ribosomal RNA", at positions 524 to 776 of the family's 1533-position model. The record is from RNAcentral.